This is a long non-coding RNA of Serinus canaria (Common canary), 1346 nucleotides long. NCBI's taxonomy places the organism in Eukaryota, Metazoa, Chordata, Aves, Passeriformes, Fringillidae. The record is from Ensembl.
UGCAAGUAAUCUGCUAUAAAGCAAUUAUUUUACUAGGAUAAUAUGCUAUUGCAAGUACAACACCAUAACGGCCAUGAAUGGGACGCAAAGGCAAAAAAUAAAAAAUAAAGGCUACUGGAGUGAUGAUAAUAUUUGAGAGUACAUACAAUUCAAUGGGUCCCAGUAAGAAAUAUCUAGCCUUGGUAACGUAGCUCUGUCACAGCUAGAUUGCAAAGAAACUUUCCCUUUUCAUGUGUUUCAGGCAGCAAAAUGCUGGGUUUAGAAGACUGCGAGCCAGUUUCCUGCAUACCACUAUAAUUAACUUGCGUGCGGAGAUCAAAGAUCCGAGGGCUAAGGAAAUAAUUGAUUGUGCCAGAAAACGCUUCCCUGGCGCAGCCCACGGUCAGCCGCCACCCACGGCAGGUCCAGUGCUGCUCCGUUCCCCCACCACCCUGCACGGUGGCCCUCGCAGAGUGCCCAUCCUCCUCCCCUCUACCCUGAACACAGCCGGUGGCCGAACGUCUUCCCGAGGCAUUGGUGCUCGAGUCCCUCCAUCUUCAAUAAAAAUGAAGCAGACUACGAAGGCUGACACGGGUCCAGGCUGAAACUCCACUCGCUGUAUUUAUUUCGUGCAGUUCGAUGCAGGCCCUCUCAUUUCAGCUGUUUGAAACGAUGUGUCGCUAGGAAGAGGUCACAGGUGACUGGCAAGUUCAACCUACUUAGCUCAAUUAUCCAAGUUUCAUUUUCAAAUUGUGUUCAAUUUGAUCUUCCUCCUUCCCUCCAAAUUAUCUCAGAGAAAAAAAAAAUCAAAUGAAAGCAGACAAUUUAAGCCAAAUCCUGUAUACCAUUAUUUAUAUGCAAAACCAUUUUUGUGAUAUAUACUCCCCUUAAUGACUAUGGAAUGCCAGAUCUUUCCAAGAGAAUUUACAAACCCAGCCAUCAAAUUAUUUCAAAGGCAGGCCUAUUAGGGACAAAAAUAAUUAUGAACUUUCAGAAGCUUUGUAAAAACAUAAGUUUCUGAAUGUUGUCUCUUUAAAUUUUUCUUAAGUUUGUUUUUAGUUUAAGCCUGGAGGCACAGUAGAGAGAUCUGCAGAGUCUAAUAAGGAGUUUGGAAAAUAAUGUGCUGUAAUCCAGUGCCGAGCUACUUCUCCAUAAAAUAUGGAUUAGGAAUCAAUUCAUAAGCACAAAUAUCUGCUAGGAUAGGGUUUUAACAAACAUUUCACAUGAGCAUUCUUAUAUGCAUUAUUAAGUAUAUAACAAAAGUGAUUCAAUUCAAACCCUAUACAGUCACAUCUGGAAAUGGUCUUUUCUGUCUAAUUUUCAUUUUUUUUCUCUCAAAAAAAUAAAAAAGUUAGAAGAAAAACUAG